RNAcentral lists this ribosomal RNA (36 nucleotides) under Eucalyptus tenuipes. RNAcentral's name for it is "partial 18S ribosomal RNA". Lineage: Eukaryota; Viridiplantae; Streptophyta; Magnoliopsida; Myrtales; Myrtaceae. The record is from RNAcentral.
CAUUGUCGAAUCCUGACCAGCCGAAUGACCAGAGAA